RNAcentral lists this transfer RNA (74 nucleotides) under Lingula anatina. Its description in RNAcentral is "tRNA-Asn". It matches the Rfam family "tRNA". From Rfam's summary of the family: Transfer RNA (tRNA) molecules are approximately 80 nucleotides in length. Lineage: Eukaryota; Metazoa; Brachiopoda; Lingulata; Lingulida; Lingulidae. The record is from Rfam by way of RNAcentral.
GUCUCUGAGGCGCAAUAGGUUAACGCGUUCGGCUGUUAACCGAAAGGUUGGUGGUUCAAGCCCACCCAGGGACG